CUUUGCAAACCCAAAAAUGCAUGAAUACAUGUUAUUAAUCACUGCAAUAAAUAAAUACAUACAAUAUCCAUUUACUAAUAGUUGCACAAAUAUAUCCUCAGCCAUUAAAAUGUGCGUCUCCAGUCCAACAUUUCAUAGCGAUUGUUGGUUUUAUUGAUGACUUGCUAUAUAAAGCUGUCAUGGAGCAACAUUCUUAUUAGGCUCAGACAGCCACUGUAUGAUUGGAGUUAUAUUCCUUAUACACUGUAUAUUUUAUCUCCUACUACCAAAAGCAAAUGUUGCAC
Non-coding RNA from Pelobates cultripes (western spadefoot toad), 284 nucleotides. NCBI's taxonomy places the organism in Eukaryota, Metazoa, Chordata, Amphibia, Anura, Pelobatidae. The record is from the annotation of a GenBank genome assembly.